CCUACGGGGGGCAGCAGUGGGGGAUAUUGCACAAUGGGGGAAACCCUGAUGCAGCAACGCCGCGUGAGUGAAGAAGUAUUUCGGUAUGUAAAGCUCUAUCAGCAGGGAAGAGAAUGACGGUACCUGACUAAGAAGCCCCGGCUAACUACGUGCCAGCAGCCGCGGUAAUACGUAGGGGGCGAGCGUUAUCCGGAUUUACUGGGUGUAAAGGGAGCGUAGACGGCUGGUCAAGUCUGAAGUGAAAGCCCGGGGCUUAACCCCGGAACGGCUUUGGAAACUGAGUAGCUGGAGUGCUGGAGAGGUAAGCGGAAUGCCUAGUGUAGCGGUGAAAUGCGUAGAUAUUAGGCAGAACCCCAGUGGCGAAGGCGGCUUACUGGACAGUAACUGACGUUGAGGCUCGAAAGCGUGGGGAGCAAACAGGAUUAGAUACCCCAGUAGUC
Molecule: ribosomal RNA, 440 nt
Filed under: uncultured bacterium
Lineage: Bacteria
Description: partial 16S ribosomal RNA
Rfam family: Bacterial small subunit ribosomal RNA
Source: RNAcentral